This 339-nucleotide unclassified non-coding RNA is filed under the name soil metagenome. Its description in RNAcentral is "partial contains 5.8S ribosomal RNA, internal transcribed spacer 2, and large subunit ribosomal RNA". The stretch from base 1 to 120 matches the Rfam family "5.8S ribosomal RNA", at positions 35 to 154 of the family's 154-position model. The record is from RNAcentral.
GAUGAAGAACGCAGCGAAAUGCGAUACGUAGUGUGAAUUGCAGAAUUCAGUGAAUCAUCGAAUCUUUGAACGCACAUUGCACCUCUCGGUAUUCCGGGAGGUAUGCCUGUUCGAGCGUCAUUUGUACCCUCAAGCUCUGCUUGGUGUUGGGUGUUUGUUCCGCCUCUGUGUGUGAACUCGCCUCAAAACAAUUGGCAGCCGGCGUACUUGUUUCGGAGCGCAGCACAUUUUGCGAUCCAGAUCAACGUACAGCGGCAUCCAAGAAGCCUUAUUUAACGCUCUUGACCUCGGAUCAGGUAGGGAUACCCGCUGAACUUAAGCAUAUCAAUAAGCAGAGGA